GGUCUCAGAGCCCCCCCUGAGCCUCGGGACCCCUCCUCAGAUGAAGCUGAUGGGUUCCAUCCGGGAGAGCAUCGUCCAGCGGCGCUUCCCGGAGUUCGUGCGGGAGUUCAUGGCCACCAUGUACGGGGGGCGCGGGGGACCCCCGGCCUGGGCUCGGGAGGCUCUGGGGUCUGUGGGGAUCCCCCUGGACUGAGGGGAGACCCCCAGGAGCACCCCAAAUUCCCAGGGGAGACCCCCAGGACCACCCCAAAUUCCCAGGGGAAACCCCCCAGAAUCCACCCCAAAUUCCCAGGGGAGACCCCCAGGAGCACCCCAAAUUCCCAGGGGAGACCCCCAGGACCACCCCAAAUUCCCAGGGGACCCCCUGGAUUGAGGGGAGACCCCCAGGAUCACCCCCAAUUCCCAGGGGACCCCCCCAGGCUCCUGAAUCCCCUCCCCCUCCGGGAGUUUUGGGGUUUUUUUACGGUUUUGGUUUUAUUUUUUUACUGUUUUGGGGUUUUUUUAAAGAACGGAAAUAAAAGAAUUUGGAAGGGAGCGGCUGCUGUGGUUCUGAUGGGCUGGGGACACCUGGGGACACUUUGGGGACACUGGGGACAUUCUGGGGACACCUGGGGACACCUGGGGACACUUGGGGACACUUUGGGGACACCUGGGGACAUUUUGGGGACACCUGGGGGGACACCUGGGGACACUUUUGGGACACUUUGGGACACUCUGGGGACACCUGGGGACAUUCUGGGGACACCUGGGGACACUUGGGGACACUUUGGGGACACUGGGGACAUUCUGGGGACACUUUGGGGACACUUUUGGGACACUUUUGGGACACUUUGGGGACACUUUGGGGACACUGGGGACACUGGGGACACUCUGGGGACACUUUGGGGACACUCUGGGGUCACUUGGGGACACUCUGGGGACACUGAGUGUCCCUGUCACCUCUGGGGUGGCACCUGCAUGUCCGUGGUGACACCUGAGUGUCCAUGGUGACACCUGUGUGACCACAGUGACACCUGUUUGGUGACACCUGCGUGUCCCUGUCACGUCUGGGGUGGCACCUGAGUGUCCCUGUCACCCCUGUGGUGACACCUGCGUGUCCGUGGUGGCACCUGAGUGUCCCUGUCACGUCUGGGGUGGCACCUGAGUGUCCCCGUCACCCCUGUGGUGACACCUGCGUGUCCGUGGUGACACCUGCGUGUCCCCGUCAGCCCUGUGGUGACACCUGCGUGUCCCUGUCACCCCUGUGGUGGCACCUGCGUGUCCCUGUCACCCCUGA
This 1276-nucleotide long non-coding RNA is filed under the name Cyanistes caeruleus (blue tit). RNAcentral's name for it is "lncRNA (ENSCCEG00000012043.1)". The record is from RNAcentral. Lineage: Eukaryota; Metazoa; Chordata; Aves; Passeriformes; Paridae.